Molecule: ribosomal RNA, 468 nt
Filed under: uncultured bacterium
Lineage: Bacteria
Description: partial 16S ribosomal RNA
Rfam family: Bacterial small subunit ribosomal RNA
Source: RNAcentral
GACGAACGCUGGCGGCGUGCUUAACACAUGCAAGUCGAACGGAAAGGCCCUGCUUUUGUGGGGUGCUCGAGUGGCGAACGGGUGAGUAACACGUGAGUAACCUGCCCUUGACUUUGGGAUAACUUCAGGAAACUGGGGCUAAUACCGUAUAGUAGCUCCUUCUGCAUGGUGGGGGUUGGAAAGUUUCGGCGGUUGGGGAUGGACUCGCGGCUUAUCAGCUUGUUGGUGGGGUAGUGGCUUACCAAGGCUUUGACGGGUAGCCGGCCUGUGAGGGUGACCGGCCACAUUGGGACUGAGAUACGGACCAGACUCCUACGGGAGGCAGCAGUGGGGAAUAUUGCACAAUGGGAGGAAGCCUGAUGAAGCAACGCCGCGUGCGGGAUGACGGCCUUCGGGUUGUAAACCGAUUUAGCAUGUGACGAAGCGUGAGUGACGGUAAUGGGUAAAGAAGCACCGGCUAACUACGUG